This 301-nucleotide ribosomal RNA is filed under the name uncultured bacterium. RNAcentral's name for it is "partial 16S ribosomal RNA". It matches the Rfam family "Bacterial small subunit ribosomal RNA", at positions 509 to 807 of the family's 1533-position model. The record is from RNAcentral.
CAGUCGCCACGGGAAUGGGAAGGGGGCUAGCGUUGCUCGGAAUGACUGGGCGUAAAGGGCGCGUAGGCGGAUGGUACAGUCAGAUGUGAAAUUCCUGGGCUUAACCUGGGGGCUGCAUUUGAUACGUAUUGUCUAGAGUGAGGAAGAGGGUCGUGGAAUUCCGAGUGUAGAGGCGAAAUUCGUAGAUAUUCGGAAGAACACCAGUGGCGAAGGCGGCUCACUGGCUCAUUCUAGACGCUGAGGUGCGAAAGCGUGGGGAGUAAACAGGAUUAGAUACCCCAGUAGUCCCUGUCUCUUAUAC